ACCGGCGGCUCGAGUGGUGGCCACUAUUACUGGGCUUAAAGCGUUCGUAGCUGGCUUGUUAAGUCUCUGGGGAAAUCUUCCGGCUUAACCGGAAGGCGUCUCAGGGAUACUGGCAGGCUAGGGACCGGUAGAGGUGAGGGGUACUCCAGGGGUAGGAGUGAAAUCCGGUAAUCCUUGGGGGAACACCUGUGGCGAAGGCGGCUCACCAGAACGGCUCCGACAGUGAGGAACGAAAGCUUGGGGAGCAAACCG
RNAcentral lists this ribosomal RNA (252 nucleotides) under uncultured prokaryote. Its description in RNAcentral is "partial 16S rRNA". It matches the Rfam family "Archaeal small subunit ribosomal RNA", at positions 475 to 726 of the family's 1478-position model. The record is from RNAcentral.